This 460-nucleotide ribosomal RNA is filed under the name uncultured bacterium. RNAcentral describes it as "partial 16S ribosomal RNA". It matches the Rfam family "Bacterial small subunit ribosomal RNA", at positions 338 to 795 of the family's 1533-position model. The record is from RNAcentral.
CCUACGGGCGGCAGCAGUGAGGAAUAUUGGUCAAUGGACGAGAGUCUGAACCAGCCAAGUAGCGUGAAGGAUGACUGCCCUAUGGGUUGUAAACUUCUUUUAUAUGGGAAUAAAAUGUUCCACGUGUGGGAUUUUGUAUGUACCAUAUGAAUAAGGAUCGGCUAACUCCGUGCCAGCAGCCGCGGUAAUACGGAGGAUCCGAGCGUUAUCCGGAUUUAUUGGGUUUAAAGGGAGCGUAGGUGGAUUGUUAAGUCAGUUGUGAAAGUUUGCGGCUCAACCGUAAAAUUGCAGUUGAAACUGGCAGUCUUGAGUACAGUAGAGGUGGGCGGAAUUCGUGGUGUAGCGGUGAAAUGCUUAGAUAUCACGAAGAACUCCGAUUGUGAAGGCAGUUCACUGGACUGCAACUGACACUGAGGCUCGAAAGUGUGGGUAUCAAACAGGAUUAGAUACCCGUGUAGUC